Non-coding RNA from Nicotiana tabacum (common tobacco), 6974 nucleotides. NCBI's taxonomy places the organism in Eukaryota, Viridiplantae, Streptophyta, Magnoliopsida, Solanales, Solanaceae. The record is from RefSeq and is a predicted model, not a curated record.
CUCUUUUCCAAGAACAUAUAUAACUUUCUUUCAAAAUGUAGACUUUAAACGAGACUUAGAAUAUGCCACGGACUUUAAAGACUUAAUCAAGCAGAAUAUAGACUUUUACUUCUCCGAAUCUAGCCUAAGUUUAAAGGAUCUACCUUAGGUAGAUUUUAGGAGGUGCCUAACACCUUUCCCUUAGAAUAACUAGAACCCUUACCCAAAUCUCUCCGGUUAGUAGACUAUUAGGUUAAUAAUCUACCAGACACAUAAGUACUCUAAUAUAGCGUAAAUAUUAAGUGGAGACUCUUUUUAUCAACCACAGAAGAACCACUAAUUGAAUCUUAUUUUGACCUGUGCAAAAUAGGGUGCAACAACAUGGAGACUCUGUUGGGGAUUUACACUUAGGUUCUGAUCUUAGCAGACUUAGGCUAGAUCUCAAAUUUAGGGACGUUUGCUUAUAUGCUGCUUUAACUCCACUUAAUUUUACGAAUAUGUGCUUACUUGUCUUACUUAUUUAUAUUUCUAUAACCUGCCAAGCAUGUACUUAUUUUCCUGCUUUUAAUAUUGGUACUGCUAUCACCAAUUAUCUGUUACUGCUUUAUACACUGUCAUCAUAUUUCUCCUUAUCGAGUCUUGGCCGUAUACUAUUACACACAAAUAACACGCAAGGGUUGUCUUUUACACCCCUCCGAACCUUCUUUCAAAAUUCUUUAGUUUCAGAGAACUGCUUUGUCAGGUCAACUAACAUAACGUCGCCCAGUGUUUAAUCCAACUCCAAAAUUAGAAAACACUCUAUUUUAGCAAGUAUAGUUCAUACUGCAUAAAACCUUAGGCGGGUCGAUCCUUCGUACUGACUCAUGAUUAGGAAAGCCACCUUAAUAUCAACGGGUCAUGCACCUAAUGACAUACCUUUUGUGAAAUGAUGAACCAAUCCAGAUUAGACGCUAAAAGAUCCGGAGAAAAAACUUACAAGACCUUUUCACUUCUUUAUAUGAAAAUCAACUGGAACGUCCCCAAAAUCAAUAUGGUCAUGGGUGCACCAUACAAGCUGAAGCAGUGGUGGAGAAAUAUUUACCGAGAGCCGGAUGAAAUCAGGACACACUUGGGAGCAUUGACCUCUUUGAUAAAUAUUAGAGCCGACAAAGUCCUUACUAGGUUGCUGAUAGAGUUUUGGGACCCAGGUAAGGUGGUUUCAAGUUUGUCGACUGUGAGUUAACGCCAACACUGGAGGAAGUCACUAGCUUCACAGAGUUACCGUUUGUUGGGAGAAAACCAAUACUGCCAGUUGUCAUGCCCGGCCACAAGUUACUUCAUGCAUUGGGUUUAUCAAACAACAAAAAAUUGAGAAACAGUGAAGAUAGAUGGGUGAGUUUAGACAAGCUGUUUGACAAAUUCAGACACUGAGAAAGUUACGAGUAACACAUUGAAGAAUUUUAAUACGAUCAAGAAACAUGGGAGAGUCUCUGUCGUCUAACCUUUUCUCUGGCAUUGUUGGGAUUAUUGGUCUUCCUGCAAAAAAAGGGACUAAUCAAUAUCAACCUGCUUCCCCUGGUCUUGGCAACCUUUCAAGGGAAUCUGCAAGUUACCCUUGUCCCCAUGAUAUUGGCAAAAACACUCCGAGCACUGUCAGCAUAUUCCGGAGGAUAUGAAUUUUUCAGAGGCUACAACCUACUACUCCAGAUAUGGAUCAGAGAACAUUUAUUUCAGAGGGAGCCACCUAUUGAUUAUUUUGUGGGCAUAAGUAACAUUAUCAAGAGCCACAAUGUGAGGAUGAGGCACUAUGUUAUGUCGCACGGGCCAGAGGAGUGGAGAGACAUGCUGACUAUCUGAGUGGAGAUUGGGUAAACUGGAAGCUUUCACAGUUAAGUGGCAGGGCAAUGUUGAGAAGCCCAAGAAAAUGCUUCAUCGAGUUAGUGGGACUUGAAGAAAUUUAGCCGUAUACAACCCUAAAAGUUCUAAGGCAAUUUUCUGUGAUUCAAGACGUACCCCUCUGGUCGAGAACAACUUUGUAUGAAGAUGACUACAAUAGAAAAAUUCCAAUCCGGAGGGUGAGGAGACUUCAAGAUAAAUGGAACGACUUGAUCAUGAUGCCAAUGGGUCAGAAUUCCUAGUGCAUUUCUGAGUACUUUAUGUUGAUCAACGAGGAGGACGAGUUGGCCAGACCACGUAGAGAAGGGUUGACCGUACUAGAGGAUUCAGCAGUAGCUCUGCAGAUAUAUGACGAGAGUUUGCCUCACUGUCUUGUUACCAUCGCCAUGCAUCAACAGGUAGUGCCAGGGUCGGUCGACCUCAUGUUGGUGACUGAGUACAUACAGAUUGAGUCAAAGACAGAUCUAGAAAAGGAUCCCAAGAAAGAACCAGAGUACAAUAGUGAUGAGGAAGAAGAAGUCGAAGAGGACCCUUAGGAGAAGCCUGAAGAAGAAAACCUGGGAGGUGACUCCGGGGAAGAUUAUUAGAGGCUGCUUGAUUUCCCUUUAUCUUGUACCCCUUUUUCAUUUCCCUAAGGGCGAACCUAUGAGCCCAUGUAGUCUUUUGAACUUAGAAAACAAUGUUGUAACCACCGCUCCCAUCUAUUUUAAUCCAAAGCCUAUCAAUGAAAUAUCAAUGUUUGCUUCGGAUCAAAAUGCGUCAAAUAUGAUUGUUCAUCAAACAUUCGCAAGAUAGGACUACCUACGGAAAAGAGAGGUCCUUCAUAUCUUAGGAAACGCGCUUACCUGAAUACGUGAAUUAAUUGCUCUAUGUGUUUAUAUUUGUGCAAUCUCUAAAACUAACUUCUACUUUUCCUUAUUUUCCUCCUUUAUUACAUUAAUUUAUCCCCGAAAAUAGAGGUUUAUUUGUCUUGAUAUGUAAAAUUGUCUGAGCCACCAUACAAUCUGAGAUCCAAGAGCAAAAUGUCAACAACCGACGACUCGGCCGAAAAUGCUCUAGUAAUAGCCGACAUCCCAGGGCAAUCAGGGGAAAGGACGAUCCCCAAAAUGAUGAACAUGUUGCCAGAAUUGCACAGGAAUUGGCGUCGCUAAGAGAAGAAGUACAACAUAUUCGGGAGCUAGCGCAUUUGACCAUGAUGAUGCUUUGCAAACCACCCCGCUUCUCUUCAUUAGAUUUUAUCCCUGAUUAUUUCUCUUCAUAACCGGACAAACAACAAGUACCCCAACCACAGUCACUACAAAUCUUACAAUCCAAGUUGUGCCACCAGUAAACCCCAUAAAUCUGCCAAAUCCCAUAUACAUACACCUUAUGUCCAAUCACCAUCAAAUCCACCAGCCACCACCAACUUAAUUCACAUCCCUCCUCGCGGUAACAUCACUUUUACCAACAACCAGAACUAGCACAUACCCGCGGUACACAACGCCACAAUGAGCGGUAUGUUUCACCUGUAUAUGUCAACUCUGAACCUACCUUUACCGUGCCUGUCACGGUCAGAAUGCCUUACGAUCGAUCAAUAUGCUGAGAUGGAGAAUGAAGCAAAGUAUAAGGAAGGGGAUUCAGUGUCGAAACAACUGUGAGUGUUGAGAAAGAAGAUGAAUAAUCUCCAGGUUGAUUAGGGAGCGAGAGUCUAGAUUGUGAGGACUUUUGUAUACAUCCCGAUUUUGACAUGCUCGCAGGGUAUAAGCCUCUGAAGUUCUACAUCUUUGACAAAACGGGUGAUCCCCACGCUCAUUUGAGGGCUUACCACGAGAAGAAAUGAAAAGCUGAGAAUGAAAUUUUUAUAAGGAGUUUGACGGGAGAAGCGCUUACUUGGUAUACCCACAAAGACCCUAAGAAUUGAAGAGAGUGACAAGAAAUGGCAGAGGACUUUAUGAAUCACUUCUAAUUUAAUACCGAGAUCACUGUAGAUAGGUUUUCCCUAGUGAAUUUGCAAAAGAAACCCUCAGAAUCAUUUCAAGACUAUGCCCGCCGUUGGAGAUCGGAAGCUGCCAGGACCCAACUCCCUGUUUAUCAAUAAAAUGAUACAGUUGAAUUUAUAUGUGGUUUAUAGACAAGUUAAUUGAUUUGAUCCAAAAAUAAUAGAUGAAUUAGACAGAAAUAUAAGACUUAGCCUUAAAAUUGAAAUAGACAGCAUAUAUCUUGGUUCCGGGCGCAGAGCUGCCGGGAGCAAUAAGAACAAUACAAAUAAACAAGAAAGUAAAAUGUUAUUGAGCUUUUGAUAAAAUAUAAUGUAUGCUUGCCAAAAAAUUCGUGUCCCCUACAAUGAUAAUAGAGCUCACUAUUUAUAGCUGCACCUAGGGAACAAAGUUCUAGGAUUAAGUUCCUCUUUAAUGACAUUUAUGAGGGCAAUUGAAGGAUGUGUAAGGGAGGACAGUGAAUGUCAUAUUCUCUGUAAUGGAUCAUGCACUUAAUGCUGUAGAAUAUUCUUCAUUGAAUGCUACCCGAUGACUAUAUUAAUUUUGUCCUUAUGAGUAUCAUUCUCUCCGAUAACAAGUGAGAUCAUUGCCUUCGGGUUUAGCUAUCUUCUGCCUUCGGUUCCACGGGUCACAUUCUCAUGCGAUCAUUAAAUAUAAACAUAUUUUAACCCAUACAGAUAGUCCCCCUACUUUCCGAUGGCAUAACUUUAUGUCACCAGGAAGUUGGUAGAAAUACCUUUUUUGGCAGAAAAUUCUCUGACCCCCUUUGAAAAGUUUCUGACGGUUGAUUAGACGCACGUCUCUACACAUUUAAUGCCCCGAAAAUGCGUCAUCCCACCAUUUAGUUUUGUCGAUUAUCGAGGUAAUUAUGGCCACAAUUUUAGCCGCCUAUACCCUUACUUAUACACAUCAAACCUCUUUAUUUACACUUCAUAAUUUUCUACACUUUCUCAAACUCUCUUUACUCAACUCGUACUUUGUCUUCAACCUUUCUUUAACCUUCUUCUUGAGAGAAAACCUUCCCUUCAUUCUCAUAAAAAUGGCCUCUUCUUCUAGAAACCCUAGUUCUUCAAAGAAUAAAGGUAAAGCUGAUGACACCGUUCUUCCUACGGUAAACACUAUCAUCCUGAAGAGUCUUGUAGCAACCAAAGAUUUUGAAGACAAGUUUCCUUACACUAACCCUCGCACAUAGGCCAUUGGCGUGCACCCUUCUUCCAUCUGUCCUUCCAGCAUUCCCGUUGUGAAGGAAGAGUACAAUUGUCGGGAUAUAGACCUUAUUGCUCCUGACCUGGCAGAGCAAAUAACUCUCCCCAAGAAGAGUUUCACAUAUUUUUAUACGUAUCCCUUCACUUUGGGGCCAUUUGCUUUGAGAGGGGAGCUUGAUUCCGUUAUUGUGGAGUUUUACAUCUACUACCAAGUGUGCCACGAUACGAGAGAAGAGCUAACCCUAUCUCAGUUAAUGAAUCCUUAUUCCCCCAAGAGUUUUUGUGGGGGAAUGAUAAAAUUCGACUAACAUUGCCACCAUGCCCUACUGCCUAGUAUGGAUGAUGACAAUAAUCGUGGAUGGAUGGAAUAGUUUGUUAUAGUUUCCACCAAGGAUAUCAUUCCGGCCUCGGCUUCAUCCUUUUCGGAGUUGUGGAACCGUGUUCCAACUCGGUGGGUUCCAUAGCGGGUUGAAGGUUUGGACCAGUGCGUCCAAAAGAUUUUGGAAGUUACUACACCAGAAACCCGUACGUAGAAGGAAUUAACCCUCAAAUACGGAUGGAAGGCCAAAAAUCAUAGUCUACCUAGGGCUCAGUUGUUGAUGAUGAUGGAGAUGCCAGUUAUGAUAGGGCUUCUCUACAUAAAAGACGACGACCUUCAUCAACUAAAUGGGAUGCUCAAUCUGUUGAGUUAGCUACACCAACCGGGGACGAUGCCUCCACACUCUGGGGGCAAUUUGAUUUGGUCGAAGAUGCCAACUCACACUUCCGAGUCCUAGCUGACGCACCCGGUACUAUAGGGCUAAGUACCAGGCCUCUCCUGUCUUCGGUUGACGAGCAACCAUCAACCAGCACAGCACCUGCCACAACUGCUUCUCGCCCUAUAAUGCCAUAUGCUUAACCUCCCUCUUCUCCAACUCAACCUUCGCCACCAACCACUGCUACAUAAUUUACACCGGCCGUGGGUGCCCGAGAGGAUGAUGUCCCUCUUUCUCAGUCCCCAGUUCAUGGGAACCUGGGGCAAAAAUAUGCUGCCCCCUCAGAAGAUCCCCAAAGGAGGAGGAGCGCCACCCUCUCGGUUUCCACCAGGCCAACAUCCUUGAUUUUGAGGGCCUUCAAAGAUUGAUUCGUGAUAAGGAGGAACAUACCUUCGAGCGGGAUCAAAAUUUGGCCGAGAGGGACCAAAUUGCUGCUCGCCUCUCAGAACUGGAAGCUCGAGCUGCUGAGGCUGUUGAAUUGGAGGCUCAGUUGCAGUAAAAUGCGCAAGAAAUAAUGACCCAUAGCCAAGAGGUUAUCCCAUUAAGGGCACAAUAUAAAGAAACUGAGGCCAAAUGGGUUGAAGUUCAUAAUGUCGUCCUUGCUACGUCCGAGAUGUGAGGUUGUCUCUAUUGAAAGAUUGAAUAAUUUGGAGGUAACCUUAAACUCCAAGGGUAAAGAACUGGAAUAGCAUGCCCAGUUGGAGGAGAAACCUUAGAGAAUAAUAAAAUUUAUUGCUCCACUGUCCGUGAUUUUGAAGCCAGCCUCUGAUCUAUGAGAUUCGUGCGAGACAAACUCUCUGUUGAGGUCGGCUAGCUUAAAGGAGAACUUCAGCGCCCAGUGGCUUCCCUCAUUAUUGAAAAAAUAUAUGCUGUGUACAACAUGAGGAGAAAAACCUUAGAAGAGGCUAAAGCGGACGUCAUUGACUUUGAUGCCGAAAUCGGCAAAGCCCGUGAGCUGGAGUUGGCUACUACAAGGGUCUUACGGCUAGGCCCGAUGCUACUAAUUCUUUUGGUUCUAGUUCUGAGUUCUCGGGAACUGAAGAGGAACCGGAAGGUGAUGAUGCUGAAGGCCAAAAUGACGCAGGCCAAGAUAUUGAACCAGUGACGAAUCUACCCACUUCUCUUGAGAGAGCGGAUGCUUCUCUUCCUCCGGGUUCCGGGGAUGCAGCAGCUUAGUUUUUGAU